GUCGAGCGAACAGACGAGGAGCUUGCUCCUCUGACGUUAGCGGCGGACGGGUGAGUAACACGUGGAUAACCUACCUAUAAGACUGGGAUAACUUCGGGAAACCGGAGCUAAUACCGGAUAAUAUAUUGAACCGCGUGGUUCAAUAGUGAAAGACGGUUUUGCUGUCACUUAUAGAUGGAUCCGCGCCGCAUUAGCUAGUUGGUAAGGUAACGGCUUACCAAGGCGACGAUGCGUAGCCGACCUGAGAGGGUGAUCGGCCACACUGGAACUGAGACACGGUCCAGACUCCUACGGGAGGCAGCAGUAGGGAAUCUUCCGCAAUGGGCGAAAGCCUGACGGAGCAACGCCGCGUGAGUGAUGAAGGUCUUCGGAUCGUAAAACUCUGUUAUUAGGGAAGAACAAAUGUGUAAGUAACUAUGCACGUCUUGACGGUACCUAAUCAGAAAGCCACGGCUAACUACGUGCC
RNAcentral lists this ribosomal RNA (466 nucleotides) under uncultured Staphylococcus sp. Its description in RNAcentral is "bacterial SSU rRNA". It matches the Rfam family "Bacterial small subunit ribosomal RNA", at positions 61 to 509 of the family's 1533-position model. Lineage: Bacteria; Bacillati; Bacillota; Bacilli; Caryophanales; Staphylococcaceae. The record is from RNAcentral.